Molecule: ribosomal RNA, 449 nt
Filed under: uncultured bacterium
Lineage: Bacteria
Description: partial 16S ribosomal RNA
Rfam family: Bacterial small subunit ribosomal RNA
Source: RNAcentral
GGGCCAGACUCCUACGGGAGGCAGCAGUGGGGGAUAUUGCACAAUGGGGGAAACCCUGAUGCAGCGACGCCGCGUGUGGGAAGACGGUCCUCUGGAUUGUAAACCACUGUCCCCAGGGACGAAGAUGACGGUACCUGGGGAGGAAGCUCCGGCUAACUACGUGCCAGCAGCCGCGGUAAUACGUAGGGAGCAAGCGUUAUCCGGAUUUACUGGGUGUAAAGGGCGCGUAGGCGGGAUGGCAAGUCAGAUGUGAAAUCCAAGGGCUCAACCCUUGAACUGCAUUUGAAACUGUCGUUCUUGAGUACUGGAGAGGUUGACGGAAUUCCUAGUGUAGCGGUGAAAUGCGUAGAUAUUAGGAGGAACACCAGUGGCGAAGGCGGUCAACUGGACAGCAACUGACGCUGAGGCGCGAAAGCGUGGGGAGCAAACAGGAUUAGAUACCCGGGUAA